UACGGAAGGCAGCAGGGGGAAUAUUGCACAAUGGGCGCAAGCCUGAUGCAGCCAUGCCGCGUGUAUGAAGAAGGCCUUCGGGUUGUAAAGUACUUUCAGUCGUGAGGAAGGUGUUAAGGUUAAUAACCUUAGCAAUUGACGUUAGCGACAGAAGAAGCACCGGCUAACUCCGUGCCAGCAGCCGCGGUAAUACGGAGGGUGCGAGCGUUAAUCGGAAUUACUGGGCGUAAAGGGCACGCAGGCGGUUAAUUAAGUUGGAUGUGAAAUCCCCGGGCUUAAACCUGGGAAUGGCAUUCAAGACUGGUUAGCUAGAGUCUUGUAGAGGGGGUAGAAUUCCAUGUGUAGCGGUGAAAUGCGUAGAGAUGUGGAGGAAUACCGGUGGCGAAGGCGGCCCCUGGACAAAGACUGACGCUCAUGUGCGAAAGCGUGGGGAGCAAACAGGGAUUAGAUACC
RNAcentral lists this ribosomal RNA (453 nucleotides) under uncultured bacterium. Its description in RNAcentral is "bacterial SSU rRNA". It matches the Rfam family "Bacterial small subunit ribosomal RNA", at positions 340 to 786 of the family's 1533-position model. The record is from RNAcentral.